This 266-nucleotide ribosomal RNA is filed under the name Neorhizobium alkalisoli. Its description in RNAcentral is "partial 16S ribosomal RNA". It matches the Rfam family "Bacterial small subunit ribosomal RNA", at positions 1 to 295 of the family's 1533-position model. The record is from RNAcentral. Lineage: Bacteria; Pseudomonadati; Pseudomonadota; Alphaproteobacteria; Hyphomicrobiales; Rhizobiaceae.
CUCAACUUGAGAGUUUGAUCCUGGCUCAGAACGAACGCUGGCGGCAGGCUUAACACAUGCAAGUCGAGCGCCCCGCAAGGGGAGCGGCAGACGGGUGAGUAACGCGUGGGAAUCUACCCAUCCCUACGGAACAACUCCGGGAAACUGGAGCUAAUACCGUAUACGCCCUUCGGGGGAAAGAUUUAUCGGGGAUGGAUGAGCCCGCGUUGGAUUAGCUAGUUGGUGGGGUAAAGGCCUACCAAGGCGACGAUCCAUAGCUGGUCUGA